UGGGGAAUUUUGGACAAUGGGCGCAAGCCUGAUCCAGCAAUGCCGCGUGCAGGAAGAAGGCCUUCGGGUUGUAAACUGCUUUUGUCAGGGAAGAAAUCUUCUGGGCUAAUACCCCGGGAGGAUGACGGUACCUGAAGAAUAAGCACCGGCUAACUACGUGCCAGCAGCCGCGGUAAUACGUAGGGUGCGAGCGUUAAUCGGAAUUACUGGGCGUAAAGCGUGCGCAGGCGGUUAUGUAAGACAGAUGUGAAAUCCCCGGGCUCAACCUGGGAACUGCAUUUGUGACUGCAUGACUGGAGUGCGGCAGAGGGGGGAUGGAAUUCCGCGUGUAGCAGUGAAAUGCGUAGAUAUGCGGAGGAACACCGAUGGCGAAGGCAAUCCCCUGGGCCUGCACUGACGCUCAUGCACGAAAGCGUGGGGAGCAAACAGGAUUAGAUACCCUGGUAGUCCACGCCCUAAACGAUGUCAACUGGUUGUUGGACGGCUUUGCUGUUCAGUAACGAAGCUAACGCGUGAAGUUGACCGCCUGGGGAGUACGGCCGCAAGGUUGAAACUUAAAGGAAUUGACGGGGUCAUAGCUGUUUCCU
Molecule: ribosomal RNA, 587 nt
Filed under: uncultured bacterium
Lineage: Bacteria
Description: partial 16S ribosomal RNA
Rfam family: Bacterial small subunit ribosomal RNA
Source: RNAcentral